CGCCUGUUUAUCAAAAACAUAGCUUAUUGUUUUUUUAUUUUAAGUGUUUUCUGCCCGGUGUGUAAUAAACGGCCGCGGUAUCUUGACCGUGCAAAGGUAGCAUAAUCAUUUGUUCUUUAAUUGAGGACUGGAAUGAAGGAAAGAAGUGAGAUUGAUGCUGUCUCUUUUUUUGUUUUAGAAUUUGCUUUUUUUGUGAAGAAGCAAAAGUUUAGAAAAAAGACAAGAAGACCCUAUUAAGCUUUACUUUUUGUUUUUAAUCGUGUGUUGUUAGUUAAUAAUCUUUUUAAUUUGACAUGUGCAAAGUUUAGUUGGGGCGACUAAAAAGGAUUAUGAAGCCUUUUUUUGUUUUUGUAACUUUAAGUUAAAAAAUGACCCAGAAUUUUCUGGUUUAAAGAAUUAGUUACUGUAGGGAUA
RNAcentral lists this ribosomal RNA (414 nucleotides) under Nemertea sp. RCMBAR1015. Its description in RNAcentral is "partial 16S ribosomal RNA". It matches the Rfam family "Bacterial large subunit ribosomal RNA", at positions 1797 to 2476 of the family's 2925-position model. The record is from RNAcentral. Lineage: Eukaryota; Metazoa; Nemertea.